This 253-nucleotide ribosomal RNA is filed under the name uncultured bacterium. RNAcentral's name for it is "partial 16S ribosomal RNA". It matches the Rfam family "Bacterial small subunit ribosomal RNA", at positions 524 to 776 of the family's 1533-position model. The record is from RNAcentral.
UACGGAGGGUGCAAACGUUGCUCGGAAUUAUUGGGCGUAAAGCGCACGUAGGCGGUUCGUUAAGUCGGAUGUGAAAGCCCUAGGCUCAACCUAGGAAGUGCAUUCGAAACUGGCGAGCUUGAAUAUGGAAGAGGGUCGCGGAAUUCCCGGUGUAGAGGUGAAAUUCGUAGAUAUCGGGAGGAACACCAGUGGCGAAGGCGGCGACCUGGGCAGAUACUGACACUGAGGUGCGAAAGCGUGGGGAGCAAACAGG